GAUGAACGCUGGCGGCGUGCCUAAUACAUGCAAGUCGAGCGAACAGACGAGGAGCUUGCUCCUCUGACGUUAGCGGCGGACGGGUGAGUAACACGUGGAUAACCUACCUAUAAGACUGGGAUAACUUCGGGAAACCGGAGAUAAUACCGGAGAAUAUAUUGAACCGCAUGGUUCAUUAGUGAAAGACGGUUUUGCUGUCUCUUAUAGAUGGAUCUGGGCCGCAUUAGCUAGUUGGUAAGGUAACGGCUUACCAAGGCAACGAUGCGUAGCCGAACUGACAGGGUGAUCGGCCACACUGGAACUGAGACACGGUCCAGACUCCUACGGGAGGCAGCAGUAGGGAAUCCUCCGCAAUGGGCGAAAGCCUGACGGAGCAACGCCGCGUGAGUGAUGAAGGUCUUCGGAUCGUAAUACUCUGCUAUUAGGGAAGAACAAAUGUGUAAGUAACUAUGCACGUAUUGACGGUACCUAAUCAGAAAGCCACGGCUAACUACGUG
RNAcentral lists this ribosomal RNA (497 nucleotides) under uncultured bacterium. RNAcentral's name for it is "partial 16S ribosomal RNA". It matches the Rfam family "Bacterial small subunit ribosomal RNA", at positions 28 to 507 of the family's 1533-position model. The record is from RNAcentral.